Molecule: ribosomal RNA, 1350 nt
Filed under: Bombus sibiricus
Lineage: Eukaryota; Metazoa; Arthropoda; Insecta; Hymenoptera; Apidae
Description: 16S ribosomal RNA
Source: RNAcentral
AUUUGAAAUAAUAAAUUUAAUAUUUUAGUAUUUAGUAUUUUAUUAUAAUUAUAUAAUUAUGUAAAGUUUUAUAAUAAUUUUAUGUUUUAGUAUUAAUUUAUGAAAUAAUAUUGUGAUUUAUAGAUUUAGUAAUGUGAAUGAAUUUUAUAAAAAUUUAAUAAGUAAAAUAAUAUUUGUACCUUUUGUAUCAGGGUUAAUUAAUUUAAUUUAAUAAAAUUAAUAUUCUCGAAAGAAAAAGAGUUAAAUAAUAUAUUUAUUUUAUUGUUGAAAAAAUAAUUAAAAUAUAUAUUUAGAAAUUAAAUGUUAAUCGAGUUUUUUUAUAUCUAGUUUUUUUUGAAAUAAAUUUAAUUUAUAUAUAAAAAAUAUAAAAAAUUUAUUUAAAAAUUUUUUAUAUUUUUAUAUAAAAAAUUUAUGGGAUAAUCUAUAAAUUUAAAUAUAUAAUAAAUUUAAUUGAUAUUAAAAUUUUAUUGAUUUAGUAAUAAUUUUUAUUAAUAAGUAUUUAAUAAUUUAAUAAAUUAGAAUUAAAGAUUUAUAUAUUUAAAUAUUUUAAUUAUAAAUUUUAUAUAUAAUUAUUAAAAAAAAAUAAUUUAUAAUAUAUUUAGAUUAAAUAUAAUGAUUAUAUUAGUAAUAUAAUUUUAUGACUAUUGUGAUAAUAUUAAUAAUUUAUUUAUAUAUAUAUAUAAGGAAUUAGGCAAAUUUAAUAUAUUCACCUGUUUAACAAAAACAUGGCUUGAUGAUAAUAAUUUUAAGUCGAUCUGCCCAAUGAUUAAAAUUUAAUGGCUGCAGUAUAAUUGACUGUACAAAGGUAGCAUAAUCAAUUGUUUCUUAAUUAGAAUCUAGGAUGAAAGAAUUAAUGAGAUAUAUACUGUCUCAUAUAUAUAUAAUUAAAUUAAAAUUUUAGUAAAAAUGCUGAAAUAAAUUUAUGGGACGAUAAGACCCUAUAGAAUUUUAUAUUAAUAUUUAAAUUAAAUUUAUUUUUAGAUAUUAAUAUUUAAUUGGGAGGAUUAAUAAAUUUAAAUAACUUUAUUUUAAAUAAAAACUUUAAUUUAAGAAUUAUUAAUGAUCUUGUAUUAUAAAUUAAGAGAAAAAAUUACCUUAGGGAUAACAGCGUAAUAUCUUUUUAAAGAUCAAAUUGAUAAAGAUGAUUGCGACCUCGAUGUUGAAUUAAGAUAAAUUUUAAAUGGAGAAAUUUAAUAAUUAAGUCUGUUCGACUUUUAAAAUCUUACAUGAUUUGAGUUCAAAUCGACGUGAGUCAGAUUGGUUUCUAUCUAUAAAAAAAAAUAAAUUAUUUGUACGAAAGGACUAUAAUUUAUAAUUAAAUUAUAAAAUUUAAUAAUUAAUAUUUAAUUU